This 490-nucleotide ribosomal RNA is filed under the name uncultured bacterium. RNAcentral's name for it is "partial 16S ribosomal RNA". It matches the Rfam family "Bacterial small subunit ribosomal RNA", at positions 28 to 507 of the family's 1533-position model. The record is from RNAcentral.
GAUGAACGCUAGCUACAGGCUUAACACAUGCAAGUCGAGGGGAAACGAUGAGAGAGCUUGCUCUCUUAGGCGUCGACCGGCGCACGGGUGAGUAACGCGUAUCCAACCUACCCAUUACAGGGGGAUAACCUUGCGAAAGUAAGACUAAUACCCCAUGGCAUUUUAUGGUGGCAUCAUUAUAGGAUUAAAGAUUUAUUGGUAAUGGAUGGGGAUGCGUCUGAUUAGCUUGUUGGCGGGGUAACGGCCCACCAAGGCAACGAUCAGUAGGGGUUCUGAGAGGAAGGUCCCCCACAUUGGAACUGAGACACGGUCCAAACGCCUACGGGAGGAAGCAGUGAGGAAUAUUGGUCAAUGAGCGAGAGCUUGAACCAGCCAAGUAGCGUGCAGGAGGACGGCGCUAUGGGUUGUAAACUGCUUUUAUAGGGGAAUAAAGUGAGCUACGUGUAGUUUAUUGCAUGUACCCGAUGAAUAAGGACCGGCUAAUUCCGUG